This 410-nucleotide long non-coding RNA is filed under the name Nicotiana tabacum (common tobacco). RNAcentral describes it as "long non-coding RNA (NTAB_LNC000114)". The record is from RNAcentral. Lineage: Eukaryota; Viridiplantae; Streptophyta; Magnoliopsida; Solanales; Solanaceae.
CCACCUCCACAACCAGUAUAUUACGCGCCACCAACAUAUAAACCUCAAUCACCACCACCACCUCCACCACCAGUACAUUACGAGCCACCAACGUACACACCUCAAUCACCACCACCACCUCCACCAGUACAUUACGAGCCACCACCAUACACACCUCAAUCACCACCACCUCCACCAGUACAUUACGAACCACCAACGUACACACCUCAAUCGCCACCACCACCAGUAUAUGUGACACCGUCUUCACCACCACCACCAGUAUAUGAGCAUCCAAAACCUCCAACUCCAACUCCAUCACCACCAGCUGGGUACACACCUCCCCAGGAGCCAUCACAUCCUGCCCCACCUACCCCACCUUGUAACGAGACACCACCCCCACCACCUAGUACCCCACAUUGGCAACCAAAACC